This 274-nucleotide ribosomal RNA is filed under the name uncultured bacterium. Its description in RNAcentral is "partial 16S ribosomal RNA". It matches the Rfam family "Bacterial small subunit ribosomal RNA", at positions 523 to 796 of the family's 1533-position model. The record is from RNAcentral.
AUACGGAGGGGACUAGCGUUGUUCGGAAUUACUGGGCGUAAAGCGUACGUAGGCGGAUCAGAAAGUAUGGGGUGAAAUCCCAGGGCUCAACCCUGGAACUGCCUCAUAAACUCCUGGUCUUGAGUUCGAGAGAGGUGAGUGGAAUUCCGAGUGUAGAGGUGAAAUUCGUAGAUAUUCGGAGGAACACCAGUGGCGAAGGCGGCUCACUGGCUCGAUACUGACGCUGAGGUACGAAAGUGUGGGGAGCAAACAGGAUUAGAUACCCUUGUAGUCC